Mizuhopecten yessoensis (Yesso scallop) is the source of this 1097-nucleotide long non-coding RNA. RefSeq lists it as uncharacterized. The record is from RefSeq and is a predicted model, not a curated record. The transcript is spliced from 2 exons. Lineage: Eukaryota; Metazoa; Mollusca; Bivalvia; Pectinida; Pectinidae.
UUGCCAAUGCGAUCAAUAAUCAAAUGAGCUUAUUUUCUGUUUACUUGUACUUGCAGGUCAGUUUGCUGAGAAUGAGACAAAUGAAAUUAAUUUCAGGGAAAUACCGUCACAUGUACUGCAGAAGGUUUGCAUGUAUUUUACCUACAAAGUGAGAUACACUAACAGUUCCACAGAGAUCCCAGAAUUUCCUAUCGCACCCGAGAUCGCUUUAGAGUUACUGAUGGCGGCAAAUUUCCUGGAUUGUUAAAUGACUCACGCUUUAUUUGUAAAUUGGAAAUUAAUAUUUGAGGAUUCUCGUAUAUAAUGAUGAUUCAGUAACAGUAAUCUGCACUUGGGAUAACAGCUGUGCACAUUAUGAUUGAGCAAACAAAUCCAACCUGCUGUUGUAACCAUCUCCAAUAUUUGUUUAUUGUGGUUAUUUCGGAAUGGUAAGGAUGUGUAUUCAAAAGUUGUAAUAUCAAAAGAACUGAGAAUACAAACAGAGACAAAGACAACCCCAGAUCUGAUGCAAGCUUGAAGAAUGAACUGUUUGUUGGUAUUGUUUGCAUGUGAGAUGUAUUUAUCAUCCUCUUUGUCUGCAAGUGACCUAUAGUUUAAUACACAAGAUAACUGAAAAGUAUAAGUACCUUUUUUUUACCCUUUCUUAAUUAUUCUUUGUGAAUGUUGUUACUAUUUAUUAUUAAAUAUUGUGAUAUUUCAUCACAUUAUGUAUACGUGCAUCAGGUGUAAACAAAUAGAAGUACACAUUUCAAUUCCAGCUAGUCGUGUCUGUACCUACUUUUCACAAUAACUAUCAACGAUUUCCUUACAAGAGGGAGAUUCUUCAUUGUUCAAUUUCAGUUCACGAGAUCUGUUUUGGAAUAACACAUGCAAAAAUAAGGGUAAUUGUUUUUUCCCCCAGGAAGUAUUGCACACUGUUUUGAUUUCACUUCAUUGCAUUACUUAUUUAUGUAGAACAAAAAUGUAUAGCAAUAUAACUAAGUAUGUAUAUAUAGCUGAUGCUUUGUGAUAUCCAAGUGAGUAGGCAGGUCUGUGUACGUUUAAAAAGAAAUAUGUAAACCCUCAACAUUCAUUAAAAUUCUAUCCAUUUUAUUGAA